GCCCUAGUAACGGCGAGUGAAGCGGCAACAGCUCAAAUUUGAAAUCUGGCGUCUUUGGCGUCCGAGUUGUAAUUUGCAGAGGGCGCUUUGGCAUUGGCAGCGGUCCAAGUUCCUUGGAACAGGACGUCACAGAGGGUGAGAAUCCCGUACGUGGUCGCUAGCCUUUACCGUGUAAAGCCCCUUCGACGAGUCGAGUUGUUUGGGAAUGCAGCUCUAAAUGGGAGGUAAAUUUCUUCUAAAGCUAAAUACUGGCCAGAGACCGAUAGCGCACAAGUAGAGUGAUCGAAAGAUGAAAAGCACUUUGGAAAGAGAGUUAAAAAGCACGUGAAAUUGUUGAAAGGGAAGCGCUUGCAGCCAGACUUGCCUGUAGUUGCUCAUCCGGGUUUCUACCCGGUGCACUCUUCUACGGGCAGGCCAGCAUCAGUUUGGGCGGUUGGAUAAAGGUCUCUGUCAUGUACCUCCUCUCGGGGAGAUCUUAUAGGGGAGACGACAUGCAACCAGCCUGGACUGAGGUCCGCGCAUCUGCUAGGAUGCUGGCGUAAUGGCUGUAAGCGGCCCGUCUUGAAACACGGACCAAGGAGUCUAACAUCUAUGCGAGUGUUUGGGUGUCAAGCCCGAGCGCGUAAUGAAAGUGAACGGAGGUGGGAACCUUUCGGGGUGCACCAUCGACCGAUCCUGAUGUCUUCGGAUGGAUUUGAGUAAGAGCAUAGCUGUUGGGACCCGAAAGAUGGUGAACUAUGCUUGAAUAGGGUGAAGCCAGAGGAAACUCUGGUGGAGGCUCGCAGCGGUUCUGACGUGCAAAUCGAUCGUCAAAUUUGGGCAUAGGGGCGAAAGACUAAUCGAACUAUCUAGUAGCUGGUUCCUGCCGAAGUUUCCCUCAGGAUAGCAGUAACGUUUUCAGUUUUAUGAGGUAAAGCGAAUGAUUAGAGGCCUGGGGGUUGAAACAACCUU
This 951-nucleotide ribosomal RNA is filed under the name Epicoccum dendrobii. RNAcentral describes it as "partial large subunit ribosomal RNA". It matches the Rfam family "Eukaryotic large subunit ribosomal RNA", at positions 77 to 1048 of the family's 3401-position model. The record is from RNAcentral. Lineage: Eukaryota; Fungi; Ascomycota; Dothideomycetes; Pleosporales; Didymellaceae.